RNAcentral lists this transfer RNA (89 nucleotides) under Spirochaetales bacterium. RNAcentral describes it as "tRNA-Ser". It matches the Rfam family "tRNA". Rfam says of the family: Transfer RNA (tRNA) molecules are approximately 80 nucleotides in length. Their secondary structure includes four short double-helical elements and three loops (D, anti-codon, and T loops). Further hydrogen bonds mediate the characteristic L-shaped molecular structure. tRNAs have two regions of fundamental functional importance: the anti-codon, which is responsible for specific mRNA codon recognition, and the 3' end, to which the tRNAs corresponding amino acid is attached (by aminoacyl-tRNA synthetases). tRNAs cope with the degeneracy of the genetic code in two manners: having more than one tRNA (with a specific anti-codon) for a particular amino acid; and 'wobble' base-pairing, i.e. permitting non-standard base-pairing at the 3rd anti-codon position. RNAcentral also lists the same sequence under 1 other name. The record is from RNAcentral. Lineage: Bacteria; Pseudomonadati; Spirochaetota; Spirochaetia; Spirochaetales.
GGAGAGAUGCGAGAGCGGUCGAAUCGGGCGGACUCGAAAUCCGUUGUACCGCGCAAGCGGUACCGAGGGUUCGAAUCCCUCUCUCUCCG